GGGUUUAAAGGAAGCGAUUCCGGCUACGGAUGGUCAUGCGUCGCAUUAGCUAGUUGGCGGGGUAACGGCCCACCAAGGCGACGAUGCGUAGGGGUUCUGAGAGGAAGGUCCCCCACACUGGUACUGAGACACGGACCAGACUCCUACGGGAGGCAGCAGUGAGGAAUAUUGGUCAAUGGCCGCAGGGCUGAACCAGCCAAGUCGCGUGAGGGAUGACGGUCCUAUGGAUUGUAAACCUCUUUUGUCAGGGAGCAAAGGGCGCCACGUGUGGCGCUUUGCGAGUACCUGAAGAAAAAGCAUCGGCUAACUCCGUGCCAGCAGCCGCGGUAAUACGAGGAUGCGAGCGUUAUCCGGAUUUAUUGGGUUUAAAGGGUGCGCAGGCGGAAUGUCAAGUCAGCGGUAAAAUUUCGGGGCUCAACCCCGUCGUGCCGUUGAAACUGGCGUUCUUGAGUGAGCGAGAAGUAUGCGGAAUGCGUGGUGUAGCGGUGAAAUGCAUAGAUAUCACGCAGAACUCCGAUUGCGAAGGCAGCAUACCGGCGCUCAACUGACGCUCAUGCACGAAAGCGUGGGUAUCGAACAGGAUUAGAUACCCUGGUAGUCCACGCAGUAAACGAUGAAUACUAACUGUCCGGGCAGAAUGAUGCCUGGGU
RNAcentral lists this ribosomal RNA (650 nucleotides) under uncultured bacterium. RNAcentral describes it as "bacterial SSU rRNA". It matches the Rfam family "Bacterial small subunit ribosomal RNA", at positions 197 to 844 of the family's 1533-position model. The record is from RNAcentral.